GUCCUAUUGUUGGUUAAUAUUAGGUCUGGCCUGCCCACUGAUUUAGUAGAUUAAAGGGCCGCAGUAUACUGACUGUGCAAAGGUAGCAUAAUCAAUUGUCUUUUAAUUGAAGGCUGGUAUGAAUGGUUGGAUGAAAUGCAUGCUUUCUUUAUUUAAUGUUAUUGAAUUUAAUUUUUAAGUUAAAAAGCUUAAAUUUUGUUGAAGGACGAGAAGACCCUAUAGAAUUUUAUCUAACUUGGUUUUAGUAUUUAAAGGUUGAUUUUAUGUGAAUUGAGUUGGAUUUUGUUGGGGUGAUGGGGAAAUUUAUAUAACUUUCUUUUUAUAAAUAUUAUUUGUGAGUAUAUUUAAAGAUCUUUAUUUUAGGAUAAUAAGAUUAAAUUACCUUAGGGAUAACAGCGUUAUUUUUCUGGAGAGUUCUUAUUGAUAGAAGAGUUUGCGACCUCGAUGUUGGAUUAAAAUUAAUACUAAAUGCAGUAGUUUGGUUAUUAGGUCUGUUCGACCUUUGAAUUUUUACA
This 515-nucleotide ribosomal RNA is filed under the name Thaumastella namaquensis. RNAcentral's name for it is "partial 16S ribosomal RNA". It matches the Rfam family "Bacterial large subunit ribosomal RNA", at positions 1825 to 2600 of the family's 2925-position model. Lineage: Eukaryota; Metazoa; Arthropoda; Insecta; Hemiptera; Thaumastellidae. The record is from RNAcentral.